This is an RNA transcript of Zea mays, 435 nucleotides long. It is a transcript of the gene named lysine tRNA ligase pseudogene, with no coding region annotated. NCBI's taxonomy places the organism in Eukaryota, Viridiplantae, Streptophyta, Magnoliopsida, Poales, Poaceae. The record is from RefSeq and is marked validated. The transcript has 3 exons.
UAUGCCAUGACAAUGGAAAUGAUUUGUUCAUUUGACUUAUAACUUGCUUACUGACAAUAUUAUGAACACUUUUGCUUCACAGGAAGCAUAGCUGAUGAACUCAUGAAAGAAAUAAAGAAGGAAGUUGAAGAAUAAUGCUGCUCCAAAGUAUUCAUAUAUGGUUCCAACUUUGUAAAAAUGGGGCAUGCUUGUUUUAUGUUAUACAAGAGAAACCUGAGAAUAUGGUAUUAUUUGUUUGUAUAUUUUGUUCUGACAUAUAUGUGACUGGACGACCGGUGCAGCACUCCUCAAUCUGCUCUCAAGAUUAUAGAAACUGAACAACGAGAAAUGAAGAUAUAACAAUUGUUUUUGAAACAUUUGUUGAAUCUACACUAUUGUACAACCAACAUUUGUCCUUGACUACCCAGUUGAGAUAUCACCAUUGGCAAAACCACA